RNAcentral lists this ribosomal RNA (460 nucleotides) under uncultured bacterium. RNAcentral describes it as "partial 16S ribosomal RNA". It matches the Rfam family "Bacterial small subunit ribosomal RNA", at positions 338 to 795 of the family's 1533-position model. The record is from RNAcentral.
CCUACGGGAGACAGCAGUGAGGAAUAUUGGUCAAUGGGCGGAAGCCUGAACCAGCCAAGUAGCGUGCAGGAUGACGGCCCUACGGGUUGUAAACUGCUUUUAUACGGGAAUAACGCGCCUUACGUGUAGGGCUUUGCAUGUACCGUAUGAAUAAGGACCGGCUAAUUCCGUGCCAGCAGCCGCGGUAAUACGGAAGGUCCGGGCGUUAUCCGGAUUUAUUGGGUUUAAAGGGAGCGUAGGCCGCAUGUCAAGCGUGCUGUGAAAUGUCCGGGCUCAACCCGUGCCUUGCAGCGCGAACUGGCGUGCUUGAGUCGGCGGAAGGCAGGCGGAAUUCGUCGUGUAGCGGUGAAAUGCUUAGAUAUGACGAAGAACCCCGAUUGCGAAGGCAGCUUGCUGCAGCGGAACUGACGCUGAUGCUCGAAAGCGCGGGGAUCGAACAGGAGUAGAUACCCGUGUAGUC